UACGGAGGGUGCGAGCGUUAUCCGGAAUCACUGGGUUUAAAGGGUGCGUAGGCGGGAAAUUAAGUCAGUGGUGAAAGCCUGUCGCUUAACGAUAGAAUUGCCAUUGAUACUGAUUUUCUUGAAUUGGGUUGAGGUUAGCGGAAUGUGACAUGUAGCGGUGAAAUGCAUAGAUAUGUCAUGGAACACCAAUUGCGAAGGCAGCUAGCUGGGCCUUGAUUGACGCUGAGGCACGAAAGCGUGGGUAGCGAACAGGAUUAGAUACCCUGGUAGUCCACGCCCUAAACGAUGCUAACUCGAUGUUUGGACGAAAGUUUGAGCAUCCAAGGGAAACCGAUAAGUUAGCCACCUGGGGAGUACGUCCGCAAGGAUGAA
RNAcentral lists this ribosomal RNA (372 nucleotides) under uncultured bacterium. Its description in RNAcentral is "bacterial SSU rRNA". It matches the Rfam family "Bacterial small subunit ribosomal RNA", at positions 524 to 898 of the family's 1533-position model. The record is from RNAcentral.